UUUACGGAGAGUUUGAUCCUGGCUCAGGAUGAACGCUGGCGGCGUGCUUAACACAUGCAAGUCGAACGGUGAACUAGGAGCUUGCUCUUGGGGAUCAGUGGCGAACGGGUGAGUAACACGUGAGCAACCUGCCCCUGACUCUGGGAUAAGCGCUGGAAACGGCGUCUAAUACUGGAUACGAACAGCGACCGCAUGGUCAGUUGUUGGAAAGAUUAUUGGUUGGGGAUGGCUCGCGGCCUAUCAGCUUGUUGGUGAGGUAAUGGCUCACCAAGGCGUCGACGGGUAGCCGGCCUGAGAGGGUGACCGGCCACACUGGGACUGAGACACGGCCCAGACUCCUACGGGAGGCAGCAGUGGGGAAUAUUGCACAAUGGGCGCAAGCCUGAUGCAGCAACGCCGCGUGAGGGAUGACGGCCUUCGGGUUGUAAACCUCUUUUAGCAGGGAAGAAGCGAAAGUGACGGUACCUGCAGAAAAAGCACCGGCUAACUACGUGCCAGCAGCCGCGGUAAUACGUAGGGUGCAAGCGUUAUCCGGAAUUAUUGGGCGUAAAGAGCUCGUAGGCGGUUUGUCGCGUCUGCUGUGAAAUCUGGGGGCUCAACCCCCAGCCUGCAGUGGGUACGGGCAGACUAGAGUGCGGUAGGGGAGAUUGGAAUUCCUGGUGUAGCGGUGGAAUGCGCAGAUAUCAGGAGGAACACCAAUGGCGAAGGCAGAUCUCUGGGCCGUAACUGACGCUGAGGAGCGAAAGGGUGGGGAGCAAACAGGCUUAGAUACCCUGGUAGUCCACCCCGUAAACGUUGGGAACUAGUUGUGGGGUCCAUUCCACGGAUUCCGUGACGCAGCUAACGCAUUAAGUUCCCCGCCUGGGGAGUACGGCCGCAAGGCUAAAACUCAAAGGAAUUGACGGGGACCCGCACAAGCGGCGGAGCAUGCGGAUUAAUUCGAUGCAACGCGAAGAACCUUACCAAGGCUUGACAUAUACGAGAACGGGCCAGAAAUGGUCAACUCUUUGGACACUCGUAAACAGGUGGUGCAUGGUUGUCGUCAGCUCGUGUCGUGAGAUGUUGGGUUAAGUCCCGCAACGAGCGCAACCCUCGUUCUAUGUUGCCAGCACGUAAUGGUGGGAACUCAUGGGAUACUGCCGGGGUCAACUCGGAGGAAGGUGGGGAUGACGUCAAAUCAUCAUGCCCCUUAUGUCUUGGGCUUCACGCAUGCUACAAUGGCCGGUACAAUGGGCUGCAAUACCGUGAGGUGGAGCGAAUCCCAAAAAGCCGGUCCCAGUUCGGAUUGAGGUCUGCAACUCGACCUCAUGAAGUCGGAGUCGCUAGUAAUCGCAGAUCAGCAACGCUGCGGUGAAUACGUUCCCGGGUCUUGUACACACCGCCCGUCAAGUCAUGAAAGUCGGUAACACCUGAAGCCGGUGGCCUAACCCCUCGGGGAGGGAGCUGUCGAAGGUGGGAUUGGUAAUUAGGACUAAGUCGUAACAAGGUAGCCGUACCGGAAGGUGCGGCUGGAUCACCUCCUUU
This is a ribosomal RNA of Microbacterium sp. CH12i, 1524 nucleotides long. It matches the Rfam family "Bacterial small subunit ribosomal RNA". NCBI's taxonomy places the organism in Bacteria, Bacillati, Actinomycetota, Actinomycetes, Micrococcales, Microbacteriaceae. The record is from Rfam.